This 400-nucleotide unclassified non-coding RNA is filed under the name soil metagenome. RNAcentral describes it as "partial contains 5.8S ribosomal RNA, internal transcribed spacer 2, and large subunit ribosomal RNA". The stretch from base 1 to 122 matches the Rfam family "5.8S ribosomal RNA", at positions 35 to 154 of the family's 154-position model. The record is from RNAcentral.
GAUGAAGAACGCAGCGAAAUGCGAUACUUGUUGUGAAUUGCAGAAUCCCGUGAACCAUCGAGUCUUUGAACGCAAGUUGCGCCUCAAGCCAUUAGGUUGAGGGCACGUCUGCCUGGGCGUCACAUAUCGUUGCCUGAUGCCAGUUUCCUCGUGAUGGGUGACUGUGCAGGGCGAAUGAUGGCUUCCCGUGAGCAUUGUUGCCUCAUGGUUGGUUGAAAAUUGAGUCCUUGGUAGGGAGCGCCGUGAUAGAUGGUGGUUGAGUGACGAACGAGACCCAAUCAUGUGAGACCCCUACCGAAUUUGGCCUUCAUGACCCACAUGCGUCUUUGGAACGCUCAUGACGAGACCUCAGGUCAGGCGGGGCUACCCGCUGAGUUUAAGCAUAUCAAUAAGCGGAGGA